CGGGGGCACGGGGGGCCUACGAGAGGCAGCAGUGACGAAUUUUCCACAAUGGGCGAAAGCCUGAUGGACCAACGCCGCGUGCAGGAUGAAGGCCUUCGGGUCGUAAACUGCUUUUAUAAGUGAAGAUUAUGACGGUAACUUAUGAAUAAGCACCGGCUAAUA
This 162-nucleotide ribosomal RNA is filed under the name uncultured bacterium. RNAcentral's name for it is "partial 16S ribosomal RNA". It matches the Rfam family "Bacterial small subunit ribosomal RNA", at positions 319 to 502 of the family's 1533-position model. The record is from RNAcentral.